Molecule: ribosomal RNA, 1471 nt
Filed under: Neisseria meningitidis
Lineage: Bacteria; Pseudomonadati; Pseudomonadota; Betaproteobacteria; Neisseriales; Neisseriaceae
Description: bacterial SSU rRNA
Rfam family: Bacterial small subunit ribosomal RNA
Source: RNAcentral
UUGAACGCUGGCGGCAUGCUUUACACAUGCAAGUCGGACGGCAGCACAGAGAAGCUUGCUUCUYGGGUGGCGAGUGGCGAACGGGUGAGUAACAUAUCGGAACGUACCGAGUAGUGGGGGAUAACUGAUCGAAAGAUCAGCUAAUACCGCAUACGUCUUGAGAGRGAAAGCAGGGGACYUUCGGGCCUUGCGCUAUUCGAGCGGCCGAUAUCUGAUUAGCUAGUUGGUGGGGUAAAGGCCUACCAAGGCGACGAUCAGUAGCGGGUCUGAGAGGAUGAUCCGCCACACUGGGACUGAGACACGGCCCAGACUCCUACGGGAGGCAGCAGUGGGGAAUUUUGGACAAUGGGCGCAAGCCUGAUCCAGCCAUGCCGCGUGUCUGAAGAAGGCCUUCGGGUUGUAAAGGACUUUUGUCAGGGAAGAAAAGGCUGUUGCUAAUAUCAGCGGCUGAUGACGGUACCUGAAGAAUAAGCACCGGCUAACUACGUGCCAGCAGCCGCGGUAAUACGUAGGGUGCGAGCGUUAAUCGGAAUUACUGGGCGUAAAGCGGGCGCAGACGGUUACUUAAGCAGGAUGUGAAAUCCCCGGGCUCAACCCGGGAACUGCGUUCUGAACUGGGUGACUCGAGUGUGUCAGAGGGAGGUAGAAUUCCACGUGUAGCAGUGAAAUGCGUAGAGAUGUGGAGGAAUACCGAUGGCGAAGGCAGCCUCCUGGGACAACACUGACGUUCAUGCCCGAAAGCGUGGGUAGCAAACAGGAUUAGAUACCCUGGUAGUCCACGCCCUAAACGAUGUCAAUUAGCUGUUGGGCAACUUGAUUGCUUAGUAGCGUAGCUAACGCGUGAAAUUGACCGCCUGGGGAGUACGGUCGCAAGAUUAAAACUCAAAGGAAUUGACGGGGACCCGCACAAGCGGUGGAUGAUGUGGAUUAAUUCGAUGCAACGCGAAGAACCUUACCUGGUCUUGACAUGUACGGAAUCCUCCAGAGACGGAGGAGUGCCUUCGGGAGCCGUAACACAGGUGCUGCAUGGCUGUCGUCAGCUCGUGUCGUGAGAUGUUGGGUUAAGUCCCGCAACGAGCGCAACCCUUGUCAUUAGUUGCCAUCAUUCAGUUGGGCACUCUAAUGAGACUGCCGGUGACAAGCCGGAGGAAGGUGGGGAUGACGUCAAGUCCUCAUGGCCCUUAUGACCAGGGCUUCACACGUCAUACAAUGGUCGGUACAGAGGGUAGCCAAGCCGCGAGGCGGAGCCAAUCUCACAAAACCGAUCGUAGUCCGGAUUGCACUCUGCAACUCGAGUGCAUGAAGUCGGAAUCGCUAGUAAUCGCAGGUCAGCAUACUGCGGUGAAUACGUUCCCGGGUCUUGUACACACCGCCCGUCACACCAUGGGAGUGGGGGAUACCAGAAGUAGGUAGGGUAACCGCAAGGAGUCCGCUUACCACGGUAUGCUUCAUGACUGGGGUGAAGUCGUAA